AAUAAAACAACAGCUAAAAAGUAAAUAAAACUAAACAACAACUAAAAAGUAAAUAAAACUAAACAACAGGUAAAAGUAAAUAAAACUAAACAACAGCUAACAGGUAAAUAAAAUUAAACAACAGCUAAAAGGUAAAUAAAACAACAGCUAAAAGGUAAAUAAAACUAAACAACAGGUAAAAGGUAAAUAAAACAAAA
Labrus mixtus (cuckoo wrasse) is the source of this 197-nucleotide long non-coding RNA. RefSeq lists it as uncharacterized. The transcript is spliced from 3 exons. NCBI's taxonomy places the organism in Eukaryota, Metazoa, Chordata, Actinopteri, Labriformes, Labridae. The record is from RefSeq and is a predicted model, not a curated record.